Molecule: ribosomal RNA, 447 nt
Filed under: uncultured bacterium
Lineage: Bacteria
Description: bacterial SSU rRNA
Rfam family: Bacterial small subunit ribosomal RNA
Source: RNAcentral
UCGGGAAUUUUGGGCAAUGGGCGAAAGCCUGACCCAGCAACGCCGCGUGAAGGAUGAAGUCUUUCGGGAUGUAAACUUCGUAAAAAUAGGAAGAAUAAAUGACGGUACUAUUUGUAAGGUCCGGCUAACUACGUGCCAGCAGCCGCGGUAAUACGUAGGGACCAAGCGUUGUUCGGAUUUACUGGGCGUAAAGGGCGCGUAGGCGGCGUGGUAAGUCACUUGUGAAAUCUCCGAGCUUAACUCGGAACGGUCAAGUGAUACUGCUGUGCUAGAGUACAGAAGGGGCAAUCGGAAUUCUUGGUGUAGCGGUGAAAUGCGUAGAUAUCAAGAGGAACACCUGAGGUGAAGACGGGUUGCUGGGCUGAUACUGACGCUGAGGCGCGAAAGCUAGGGUAGCAAACAGGAUUAGAUACCCCCGUAGUCCCUGAGCGGGCUGGCAAGGCGCAU